GACGAACGCUGGCGGCGUGCUUAACACAUGCAAGUCAAACGGAAAGGCCCUGCUUUUGUGGGGUGCUCGAGUGGCGAACGGGUGAGUAACACGUGAGUAACCUGCCCUUGACUUUGGGAUAACUUCAGGAAACUGGGGCUAAUACCGGAUAGGAGCUCCUGCUGCAUGGUGGGGGAUGGAAAGUUUCGGCGGUUGGGGAUGGACUCGCGGCUUAUCAGCUUGUUGGUGGGGUAGUGGCUUACCAAGGCUUUGACGGGUAGCCGGCCUGAGAGGGUGACCGGCCACAUUGGGACUGAGAUACGGCCCAGACUCCUACGGGAGGCAGCAGUGGGGAAUAUUGCACAAUGGGCGGAAGCCUGAUGCAGCAACGCCGCGUGCGGGAUGACGGCCUUCGGGUUGUAAACCGCUUUCGCCUGUGACGAAGCGUGAGUGACGGUAAUGGGUAAAGAAGCACCGGCUAACUACGUG
Molecule: ribosomal RNA, 468 nt
Filed under: uncultured bacterium
Lineage: Bacteria
Description: partial 16S ribosomal RNA
Rfam family: Bacterial small subunit ribosomal RNA
Source: RNAcentral